AGUGAACGCUGGCGGUAGGCCUAACACAUGCAAGUCGAACGGCAGCACAGGAGAGCUUGCUCUCUGGGUGGCGAGUGGCGGACGGGUGAGGAAUACAUCGGAAUCUGCCCAGUCGUGGGGGAUAACGUAGGGAAACUUACGCUAAUACCGCAUACGACCUUCGGGUUAAAGAGGGGGAUCGCAAGACCUCUCGCGAUUGGAUGAUCCGAUGUCGGAUUAGCUAGGUGGCGGGGUAAUGGCCCACCAAGGCGACGGUCCCUAGCUGGUGUGAGAGGAUGAGCCGCCACUCUGGAACUGAGACACGGUCCAGACUCCGACGGGAGGCAGCAGUGGGGAAUAUUGGACAAUGGGCGCAAGCCUGAUCCAGCCAUACCGCGUGGGUGAAGAAGGCCUUCGGGUGGUAAAGCCCUUUUGUUGGGAAAGACAUCUUUCAGGCUAAGACCCUGGGAGGAUGACGGUACCCAAAGAAUAAGCACCGGCUAACUUCGU
Molecule: ribosomal RNA, 489 nt
Filed under: uncultured bacterium
Lineage: Bacteria
Description: partial 16S ribosomal RNA
Rfam family: Bacterial small subunit ribosomal RNA
Source: RNAcentral